GCAUAUCAAUAAGCGGAGGAAAAGAAACUAACUAGGAUUCCCUUAGUAACGGCGAGUGAACCGGGAUGAGCUCAAAUUUGAAAUCUGGCGUCUUUCAGGCGUCCGAGUUGUAAUCUAUAGAGGCGUUUUCCGCGCCGGACCGCGUCCAAGUCUCUUGGAAUAGAGUAUCAAAGAGGGUGACAAUCCCGUACUUGACGCGACAACCGGUGCUCUGUGAUACGUUCUCAACGAGUCGAGUUGUUUGGGAAUGCAGCUCUAAAUGGGUGGUAAAUUCCAUCUAAGGCUAAAUAUUGGCGAGAGACCGAUAGCGAACAAGUACCGUGAGGGAAAGAUGAAAAGCACUUUGGAAAGAGAGUUAAACAGCACGUGAAAUUGUUAAAAGGGAAACGAUUGAAGUCAGUCGUGUGAAAGGUAUUCAGCCGUCUCUGGCGGUGUAUUUGCCUUUCACGGGUCAACAUCAGUUUAGUCCGGUAGAAAAAGGCUGGAGGAAGGUGGCACCCUCGGGUGUGUUAUAGCCUCCUGUCACAUGUGCCGGAUUAGACUGAGGAACGCAGCUUGCAGCAAUGCCGGGGUUCGCCCACGUACAAGCUUAGGAUGUUAC
This 601-nucleotide ribosomal RNA is filed under the name Vishniacozyma tephrensis. Its description in RNAcentral is "partial large subunit ribosomal RNA". It matches the Rfam family "Eukaryotic large subunit ribosomal RNA", at positions 38 to 629 of the family's 3401-position model. Lineage: Eukaryota; Fungi; Basidiomycota; Tremellomycetes; Tremellales; Bulleribasidiaceae. The record is from RNAcentral.